AACGCACAUUGCGCCCUCUGGUAUUCCGGAGGGCAUGCCUGUUCGAGCGUCAUUAUCACCCCUCAAGCUCGGCUUGUUGUUGGAUGCAGCCGCCCACACCCGGGUGGUUCCUCCCAAAGAUAAUGGCGGCGUCUGUGGAAGGACUCCAGUACACUGAGCUUUCGGGCACGUACUCGGAUAGAACUCCAGGCCCGGUCUUCUGUCACCUAUUGUCUUAGGUGGCUACUUUUACCAAGGUUGACCUCGGAUCAGGUAGGAAUACCCGCUGAACUUAA
This 275-nucleotide unclassified non-coding RNA is filed under the name uncultured fungus. RNAcentral's name for it is "sequence contains ITS2". The stretch from base 1 to 52 matches the Rfam family "5.8S ribosomal RNA", at positions 103 to 154 of the family's 154-position model. Lineage: Eukaryota; Fungi. The record is from RNAcentral.